Nannospalax galili (Upper Galilee mountains blind mole rat) is the source of this 106-nucleotide small nuclear RNA. Lineage: Eukaryota; Metazoa; Chordata; Mammalia; Rodentia; Spalacidae. The record is from Ensembl.
CUGCUUGAUUCAGCAGCACAUAGACUGAAAAUUGGAACAAUACAGAGAAGAUUAUCAUGGCCCUGCACAGGAGUGACCAAAGAUUCAUGAAGUGCUCUGUGCUUUC